ACGAACGCUGGCGGCGCGCUUAAUACAUGCAAGUCGAACGAGAAGCCAGAGCUUGCUCUGGUGGAAAGUGGCGAACGGGUGAGUAACACGUGAGAAACCUGCCCCAAAGAUUGGGAUAAGCCUUGGAAACGAGGUCUAAUACCAAAUACCUUCUUUUAACACAUGUUAAAAGAAGAAAUGCUCCGGCGCUUUGGGAUGGUCUCGCGAUCUAUCAGCUUGUUGGUGAGGUAACGGCUCACCAAGGCAUCGACGGAUAGCUGGUCUGAGAGGAUGUCCAGCCACAUUGGAACUGAGACACGGUCCAAACUCCUACGGGAGGCAGCAGUAGGGAAUCUUGCACAAUGAGGGAAACCUUGAUGCAGCGACGCCGCGUGCGGGACGAAGGCCCUAGGGUUGUAAACCGCUUUCAGUAGGGACGAAAGUGACGGUACCUACAGAAGAAGCCCCGGCCAACUAUGUG
RNAcentral lists this ribosomal RNA (460 nucleotides) under uncultured bacterium. RNAcentral's name for it is "bacterial SSU rRNA". It matches the Rfam family "Bacterial small subunit ribosomal RNA", at positions 29 to 507 of the family's 1533-position model. The record is from RNAcentral.